This 253-nucleotide ribosomal RNA is filed under the name uncultured bacterium. Its description in RNAcentral is "partial 16S ribosomal RNA". It matches the Rfam family "Bacterial small subunit ribosomal RNA", at positions 524 to 776 of the family's 1533-position model. The record is from RNAcentral.
UACGUAGGUGACAAGCGUUGUCCGGAUUUACUGGGCGUAAAGAGCGCGCAGGCGGUCGUUCAAGUCGAGUGUGAAAGCCCCCGGCUCAACUGGGGAGGGUCAUUCGAUACUGAUCGACUCGAAGGCAGGAGAGGGAAGUGGAAUUCCCGGUGUAGUGGUGAAAUGCGUAGAUAUCGGGAGGAACACCAGUGGCGAAGGCGACUUCCUGGCCUGUUCUUGACGCUGAGGCGCGAAAGCUAGGGGAGCAAACGGG